Molecule: long non-coding RNA, 791 nt
Organism: Zingiber officinale
Lineage: Eukaryota; Viridiplantae; Streptophyta; Magnoliopsida; Zingiberales; Zingiberaceae
Exons: 4
Source: RefSeq, a predicted model, not a curated record
GUACAGGCAUAACCAAUGGUUUGAUCAAGGCAAGGCAGGCAAUUGGCAAGGAUUUUGGAGUUGAAGCAGAGGAUGUGCCCAUAAUAUCAACCAGUGUGGCCUACGGUGUCUACAUGGCCACUUCAAGCAACCUUAGGUACCAAGUGUUGGCGGGUGUCAUAGAACAGCGUAUUUUGGAGCCAUUGCUACACAACAACAAACUGGCACUCAGUGCCUUGUGCUUUGCAGUUCGCACAGGAAAUACAUUCUUGGGAUCACUUCUGUGGGUUGAUUAUGCUCGCUGGGUGGGCGUUCAAAAGAGUCAUGAAUAGCAGACUCGUACCGACAUUCCAAUUUGCAUCGCCAGCUGAAAUCUGUGUAGGGAAAGGUUGAUUUGAAUAUUCUUAUCAAAACUCUAUACGAUAUAUACAAACGUAACUACGUACAGCAAUAAUUCAGCAUGGUACGAGUCUACUUUGGAACAAGGGCAUUACCUGUGUUAAAAUCAAACGCUUUGUCACAUAAAAACUCUUAUUCAAAUGUAGGAUGGUUAUAAAGGUAUAAUAGAGAGUGGUAUCACGGGUCUGCUUUGACAUGUACAUUUUGUUGGAGCUGCUAAAGGUGGUGUAAUUGAAGGUGUAAUUGAAGCGCAGAUAGAAUGAUGGUAUAGCAUUGUUUAGGCAGAGUGACUAUCUUUUUGAAAUAAAAUUUUCUUGUACAACAAUCAUCUUGUAAGAUACAAUUUUAUCUUGUGAUAGUAGUUGUAAAUCACAAGAAUUUUGAAUCGAAAAUGCUUCUCGAACUUUCUAGAA